Molecule: ribosomal RNA, 111 nt
Filed under: Actinomycetota bacterium
Lineage: Bacteria; Bacillati; Actinomycetota
Description: Actinobacteria bacterium partial 23S ribosomal RNA
Rfam family: Bacterial large subunit ribosomal RNA
Source: RNAcentral
CCCACCCGUAAGGGUUAAGGCCCCUGGUAGAUGACCAGGUUGAUAGGCCGGACGUGUAAGCACAGCAAUGUGUUCAGCGGACCGGUACUAAUAGGCCGAGGGCUUGGAUAA